AGAGUUUGAUCCUGGCUCAGAACGAACGCUGGCGGCGUGCCUAAUACAUGCAAGUCGAGCGCGGGAAGCGAGUGGAUCCCUUCGGGGUGAAGCUCGUGGAACGAGCGGCGGACGGGUGAGUAACACGUGGGCAACCUACCUGUAAGAUCGGAAUAACCCCGGGAAACCGGGGCUAAUGCCGGGUAAUACUUUUCUUCGCAUGAAGGAAAGUUGAAAGAUGGCUUCUUGCUAUCACUUACAGAUGGGCCCGCGGCGCAUUAGCUAGUUGGUGAGGUAACGGCUCACCAAGGCGACGAUGCGUAGCCGACCUGAGAGGGUGAUCGGCCACACUGGGACUGAGACACGGCCCAGACUCCUACGGGAGGCAGCAGUAGGGAAUCUUCCGCAAUGGACGAAAGUCUGACGGAGCAACGCCGCGUGAACGAUGAAGGUCUUCGGAUCGUAAAGUUCUGUUGUUAGGGAAGAACAAGUACCGUGCGAAUAGAGCGGUACCUUGACGGUACCUAACGAGGAAGCCCCGGCUAACUACGUGCCAGCAGCCGCGGUAAUACGUAGGGGGCAAGCGUUGUCCGGAAUUAUUGGGCGUAAAGCGCACGCAGGCGGUUCCUUAAGUCUGAUGUGAAAGCCCACGGCUCAACCGUGGAGGGUCAUUGGAAACUGGGGAACUUGAGGACAGAAGAGGAGAGUGGAAUUCCACGUGUAGCGGUGAAAUGCGUAGAUAUGUGGAGGAACACCAGUGGCGAAGGCGACUCUCUGGUCUGUUUCUGACGCUGAGGUGCGAAAGCGUGGGUAGCAAACAGGAUUAGAUACCCUGGUAGUCCACGCCGUAAACGAUGAGUGCUAGGUGUUAGGGGG
Molecule: ribosomal RNA, 855 nt
Filed under: uncultured Halobacillus sp.
Lineage: Bacteria; Bacillati; Bacillota; Bacilli; Caryophanales; Bacillaceae
Description: bacterial SSU rRNA
Rfam family: Bacterial small subunit ribosomal RNA
Source: RNAcentral